UAAGAAUGGAAGAUUUGAAAGUAAUUUCAGCAAGUUCAGAAUUCAUAUAACUUUUAUACAAAAUGAAAACAAGUGAUGAUAUAUUUUCAAAAUAAUACCUUUAACCCUUCAUCAGUAGCCAGUUCUAGCAAUUAAUCCUUUAAAGUCAUAUUUAAAUUUAAGCUGUGUUUUAAUGAGAAAGAUGGCUUCCAGAUUUUACCUACUUUUGAGUAACACUUGGCCAACUACUCGUUUAAUGCACAUGACUAGUGCAUGGUUUGUACCACAGUUUAUCAUGUAAGUGUAUUUGGCAUCUGAAUUGAUCUAUAACCUGUUAACAAGGUGAGUGUGUCUGCUGCUCAGGAGCUUGGAUGCUUUGGCACUGUUACAUUGCUGUGAAAAUUAUUAUUUUGUGUAGUUAAUCAGAAAACCCUAUGAUUUUAUGAUGUGAAUUAUCUGUUUUAAAUUAAGGUUUUGGCUUGGACAACAGCGUUGCAAACAAUCUAUAAAACAUUUGCCUACAAUAAGCAGUGAAACAUUGCAGCUUUCCAAUUACUCAACUCAUUCCUAUUGGAAACCUUUCUAAAAAUAAGCUAUUCAUUAAACUUACCCGUCUUCCACAAUACUACAUUGUUGUGGAGAUGCUGGAGGUCCCCAAUAACCUACACAACUCUCAUACAAGUACUACUUCAUGUCUGUGAAUGCUGCAGAUCGUGAAGACAGCCCUGUUGUGGCACUGCUGCUGCAGCAGUUCAAGGAAAACAUCCAGGACUUGAUUUUGCGUACAAAACUGGGAAACAGACGAGAACUGGUACCAAGCGCAAGUUGACUGAUGAUCCGUGUCCAGUAGAGUCCAAGAAACCAAACGAUCAGGAGAAAUGUGUGCCUUCAAUAAAGUUCUAGCUCACUUUGUUGCUAUGUGUGAUACAAACAUGCCAUUUGUAGGACUCCGGUUAGAGUUGUCCAAUCUGGAGAUUCCACAUCAGGGGUGCAAGUAGAAGGUGAUGGCUUCAGUCAUGCAAUUCGCUUAUUAAAAAUUCCUCCCUGUAAGGGUGUAAAUGAAGGAAACCCAAAAGGCUCUGGACCGUUCUCUGCUAUCGAUUGCACUUUCCGAUUACAAGGUAGAAUAACCGCACGUGGGUGG
Non-coding RNA from Castor canadensis (American beaver), 1123 nucleotides. The record is from RefSeq and is a predicted model, not a curated record. Lineage: Eukaryota; Metazoa; Chordata; Mammalia; Rodentia; Castoridae.